This 77-nucleotide transfer RNA is filed under the name Thermoprotei archaeon. Its description in RNAcentral is "tRNA-Lys". It matches the Rfam family "tRNA". Rfam says of the family: Transfer RNA (tRNA) molecules are approximately 80 nucleotides in length. Lineage: Archaea; Thermoproteati; Thermoproteota; Thermoprotei. The record is from RNAcentral.
GGGCCGGUAGCUCAGCCCGGAAGAGCGACGGGCUUUUAACCCGUAGGACCCGGGUUCAAAUCCCGGCCGGCCCGCCA